GAGGGUAUAGCUCAGUGGUAGAGCACAUGUACAGCAUACACGAGGUCCUGGGUUCAACCCCCGGUAUCUCCA
This 72-nucleotide transfer RNA is filed under the name Camelus bactrianus (Bactrian camel). It matches the Rfam family "tRNA". From Rfam's summary of the family: Transfer RNA (tRNA) molecules are approximately 80 nucleotides in length. Their secondary structure includes four short double-helical elements and three loops (D, anti-codon, and T loops). The record is from Rfam by way of RNAcentral. Lineage: Eukaryota; Metazoa; Chordata; Mammalia; Artiodactyla; Camelidae. RNAcentral also lists the same sequence under 1 other name.